UGUAGCUUAGUGGUAGAGUGCUUGCCUAGCAUGCAUGAGGCCUGGGUUCAAGCCCCAGUA
RNAcentral lists this transfer RNA (60 nucleotides) under Heterocephalus glaber (naked mole-rat). It matches the Rfam family "tRNA", at positions 6 to 65 of the family's 71-position model. From Rfam's summary of the family: Transfer RNA (tRNA) molecules are approximately 80 nucleotides in length. Their secondary structure includes four short double-helical elements and three loops (D, anti-codon, and T loops). The record is from Rfam by way of RNAcentral. Lineage: Eukaryota; Metazoa; Chordata; Mammalia; Rodentia; Bathyergidae.